Molecule: ribosomal RNA, 466 nt
Filed under: uncultured bacterium
Lineage: Bacteria
Description: bacterial SSU rRNA
Rfam family: Bacterial small subunit ribosomal RNA
Source: RNAcentral
CCUANGGGGGGCAGCAGUGGGGAAUUUUGCGCAAUGGGCGCAAGCCUGACGCAGCAACGCCGCGUGAGUGAUGAAGGUCUUCGGAUCGUAAAGCUCUGUCGGCGGGAACGAUGCUUUUGUUGGCCAAUAUCCAACAGAAUCGACGGUACUCGCAAAGGAAGCACCGGCUAACUCUGUGCCAGCAGCCGCGGUAAGACAGAGGGUGCGAGCGUUGUUCGGAAUCAUUGGGCGUAAAGGGCGCGUAGGCGGCUUGGCAAGUUGGAUGUGAAAGCCCCGGGCUUAACCCGGGAAGUGCAUCCAAAACUGCUUUGCUUGAGUGUUGGAGAGGGUGGCGGAAUUCCCAGUGUAGAGGUGAAAUUCGUAGAUAUUGGGAGGAACACCCGUGGCGAUGGCGGCCACCUGGACAAACACUGACGCUGAGGCGCGAAAGCGUGGGGAGCAAACAGGAUUAGAUACCCCANUANUC